RNAcentral lists this ribosomal RNA (506 nucleotides) under uncultured bacterium. RNAcentral's name for it is "partial 16S ribosomal RNA". It matches the Rfam family "Bacterial small subunit ribosomal RNA", at positions 29 to 523 of the family's 1533-position model. The record is from RNAcentral.
AGUGAACGCUGGCGGUAGGCCUAACACAUGCAAGUCGAACGGCAGCACAGAGGAGCUUGCUCCUUGGGUGGCGAGUGGCGGACGGGUGAGGAAUACAUCAGAAUCUACUCUGUCGUGGGGGAUAACGUAGGGAAACUUACGCUAAUACCGCAUACGACCUACGGGUGAAAGCAGGGGACCUUCGGGCCUUGCGCGAUUGAAUGAGCCGAUGUCGGAUUAGCUAGUUGGCGGGGUAAAGGCCCACCAAGGCGACGAUCCGUAGCUGGGCUGGGAGGAUGAUAAGCCACACUGGAACUGAGACACGGUCCAGACUCCUACGGGAGGCAGCAGUGGGGAAUAUUGGACAAUGGGCGCAAGCCUGAUCCAGCCAUACCGCGUGGGUGAAGAAGGCCUUCGGGUUGUAAAGCCCUUUUGUUGGGAAAGAAAUCCAGCUGGCUAAUACCCGGUUGGGAUGACGGUACCCAAAGAAUAAGCACCGGCUAACUUCGUGCCAGCCGCCGCGGUAA